This 5231-nucleotide long non-coding RNA is filed under the name Amborella trichopoda. RNAcentral describes it as "long non-coding RNA (ATRI_LNC001392)". The record is from RNAcentral. Lineage: Eukaryota; Viridiplantae; Streptophyta; Magnoliopsida; Amborellales; Amborellaceae.
GAAGAAGUGACAGAGCGCACUGAUGCUAUACUUGGGUACAAGGUUGUGAAAAAUGGGGAGAGAGAUAUUUGAUAACUUAGGGUUUGCCUUCAAAUUCUUGUUGCCAUAGACCCUGACCGUUGUUUUCUUCAUUCUUUGGCAGAAUUCUCUGGGCCGGUGUUCUUCAUUCUUUGGCAGAAUUCUCUGGGCCGGUGAUCUCACAUGGUGAAGCACCACCAUAAACGAGGAGCUUUUAGCAGAAAUGGGGUUGGAGCACGCGCAAAUGCUUCCCACCACUUCUCAGAAUUUCACAACAAUGGAUAUGCAUGUUUCUGACAUCUGCGCGAUUCGGUUUGCGUUUCUUUGGUAUUAACACUAGGGUCUUGGUUAUCUCCCUCUUGCCCCCAAAUCCAUGAAAUCUAGGGCAUUAUACAGUCUUGCCUUGAGCUCAAUCCCUGUUAUUUUCGAUGAGAAUCCCCUAUUUAUGAUUUCAAAUUCUUCGUCUUUGGUGGUUCUUUCUCUUGUUUUUCUCUUCAUUGAUAUUCCCCAAUUUUGCUUACAAGUUCAAAAUUUUCAGCCCAAAGUUUUGAUAGUAUGACAUGACUUCGUGAUUAGGUCGGCUUAACUUCAAUGCUUGGGGCUACAUUUCUCACUUUUGAGCCUUGAAAAUCCAUGCAUAUGGCCUAACAUCAACCAAAAAAAGAUGUUCCCUAUUUUCUGAUAUUAUGAAUCACCCGGUUAUUAUUUUCUGAUAUUUAUGGAUCAUCGGGUUUGCUUUCGAAAAGUAGUUAAAUUCUGGAGCUGGCUCCACUUGGAGUCGGCCUACUCGGACUUGCCAUGCUGACCCCUAGUACAGGGGCACAACUUGGGCAUAUCAAAAAAAAAAAAUCAAAUUCAUGUACCAAAAUUAUGUAUGUAAUUUAUAUUUGUUUACAUUCAUUUGUGAGUUUUUAUUCUCAUAUAUUCUAUUGUUGUAUUUUCCCCUUUUUCUUAGAUUUUCUUGCAUUGUCUCCAACCAUAAAUCAUUUCUUUCUAAACCCAUGUUUUGUAUACUUUUUCCAGCUCAUUUGGUUGUUUUUGGUUUUGUUUCACUUUUAAAAAAAUUUAUCUAUUAGUGGUUUUCUGGCUUGCAAUGAAUCUCAUCAGCUUCUACAUCGAAUUCUUGAUCAAAGUUAGCUCGUUAUUUUUUUUAGGGGUCAUCAUGUGUGCCUUUUAUGGGCCAGAAUAUAGGACCAAUAUUAGUAUUCCUUCCACAUGGGAAUGAUGUUUCAUCACUAAGACAUGAAUUCAAUUGUUGGCAAUUUGGGUAAAUAUACAUAAAUGACCCGAGUCAGCUCGGGUUUGGUAACUAAUGAUUCUGGAGGGAGUCAUCUACCCCGAGCCUUGGGUCCCUGUUGUUAUUUUCCCAUAAAUUUUCUCAAGUGUGGCUCUGACUUGAAUUCUCUGACCGAUUCCAGUUCCAGGCCCUAGCAAGUUCGAGCCAUGUGUAUUAAGAUCCGGCAUUUUCAUACUGUUCUAACCAGCAUAAUGAUUAAUGGAGCAAUGAAUAGCCCCCUUGACUUCACAUUAGAUACGCACUCAUAUUUGGCAUGCAUUCAUGAUUGACUUAGAUGAUACAUUUUUAUUUUUGUAUCUCCACAAUUAUUUCAAAUAAAUGCAAACUUUGAGAACUAGAUCGUAUUUUAGUUGGCACUGAUGGAAUGUGUUGGUCCCAAUGCAAUGGAUUAGUGGGGAUGCUGAGAGAGCAUUAGACAUGCCCAAAAGGGCAUGUUUGGGCAUGGGCCAAAGAAUCAAACACCAUUAGAACAAAGGUUGUGCUGUAAGAUUGAACAGACUCAACAUUCACCUUGUAUAGUACAUAAUGCCACCAUCAAAGCCAUUAGUUUUCAAGUUGCAUAGAAUAUUACAACAUAGCAAAUAUUUAGAAUAGUGCAUUGCAUGUGUGAGUGUUUGUGUCUGGAAAGAGGUCUACUGUCUUUCUCCUUGCUAGUUAAGAAAAUUGUAUGUGUGCUUCUGUGAGCAGGUGCAUAUAUGUGUUUGUGUGUGUGCGCACAGCGUGCAGUGUAAAAGAAUUCAUAUGGGCAAUUGUUUGUAUAUGUUAAGGAUGGAUAAUCCACUUAACAACAACCUCAUCAUGCACGCAAGUGAUAUGUAACAUUCAUGGCAAUGAACUUGACGGAUUCGAGAAAUUAGACUCGUGAAUCCUUCUUAAGGAUCAGACUCUCAUCAGUCAAUACAUAACGUUAGCUUAAUUGAUGUUCAAUGCAUUGCUUCCCUUAGCACAUAUAAAUGAACAAAAAUUCGGCCGCCUUGCCGCCUAGGUAGGCGGUGGUGUCUGGGCGGGCAUGCUUAACGCAGGUGCCUAGGCAGUCAAGGUGGGUGUCUAGGCGGUCUGAGCGCCCACCUAGCGACAUCCCUUAAAAAAACUUAAAACUUCAAAUCCACCCAAACAAAAAUAAGGCCUGGUAUUGCCCUUCUCUCACUUUCUCUCGUUCUCUCUACAUAUGAGAAGAAGAAGAAGAAGAACAUGGACUCUAAGUGUUCGAUGUGUGGCCUCUCUCUCUUUCUUACACUCACACACAAAGAUGCAUAUGGACCCAUAUGCUCCCUCUUUACAUGUAAGAAGAAAAAAAAGAAAGAGAAGAGGGUGAUCUUUAAGAAUUUUAUACGAUACCUCACACACACACAUACAUGCGCAUGCCCACGCGCACAAUAAACACAUACAUACACACGUUCACAGAACACACACACAAAACUACAGCCCCUACCUCAACCCCUUCCCUUAGCGCUACCUUUUUGUCUAGGUGCCUGCCUAGGCAGCUGCAUCCACCUUCUUGAACAUUGGCACAGAUUAAGCCCAUCACAAUAUUUUCAUUUCAAAUGUGAGCAUCUACUGGGUGAAAGAGAGGUUGAAGAGUAGACUUCGCAUCGUCUAUGUCUUCCAAUCCCUCCCACCAUUCUUGUUCCCCUUUAAUUAUUCUUAGACCGUUUUUCUUCUCUCACACCUGCAGGUAGCUUCUUCAAAUUAUGACAAUCAGUUACCUGGAUAACUUCCAAUGAAGACCAGGCCCCGACACUCCCACCAACACUCAUCAGCGAAUGCAAACUUGUGAGGUUCAAGUCCCUUAAUUUUGGAAGUCUGCUGUCCUCUAUCGCUCCAGUGAUUAUCUCUUCUAUGCUGUUGCAUGUAAUUAUCUGAAUCAAUUCCAAGUUUUGGAGACGUGACAUCGCAACUGAUGGAAAGACAUUAAUCAAUCUGUCACAGCAAAUUAUUGCAACGCGUCUGAGAUUAUUAUGAUGGCAAGCAAUUGGAACAUCGAAGCUCCUUAUGUUCUUCAGCAUUGGCAACUCGUACAGCUCCAACCACUCUAAGCUGGGUCCCCUACCUAUAUCAAGCCACGUCAAAUCUAGACACCCAUCAAUGUACAGAGUUUUCAAGGAUGUCAUAGCUGAUAUGUGAUAAAAAUUUGUCAAUCCAUGGUAUUUGCAUAGGUAUAAUUUUCUGAGAUGUGAAAACAUUGUUUCUACGACAGGCAUGUUAAGAAAUUUGACGUCAAGAAUGAUGAAUGUGCCAAGUGACUUUAAGCGUUUCAAGCCCUCCAACUCCUCCCAUUUUGCACCACCCAUUUCCAUUUCCAAAAUGUAUCGACUCUCAUACAUGUCAAGCUCUUCUAAGUUAGUUAGCCUUGAUAUUAACCCAUACUCAAUUUCUUCAAGGUCACUAGUAUAGCUCAGGUCAAGGUGCCUCAAGUUGACCAAUUCUCCCAUUUUUUGAGGCAAUCUUGUGAUACCUGUGCCCCUUAAGUUCAAAACUUGGAGUUGCUUGAGCUUCCCUAGGGGUGGAAUGUCUUCUAGGUUUUUGCAAUCUCUCAAAGAAAGGAACGGAGAUUACUCAAGUUUGAUAAGGAUGGAGGUAGUGAGCAUAGUUUUGUGAAACUGAGAUUGAGCACCUGGAGGGCCUCCAUACUUUCAAGAAGCCAUCGGGAAUGUUCUCCAAAGUUUGGUUUCCUUAAAGUAGCAAUGUUUUGAGUCUUGAACAAAAAGGGUUAUUCGGAAGUCUCUUUAUUUCAUUCCCCAAUGAUGAUAUACGAUCAACUUCUAUCCAGUCUUUCCACCAUUGGUGCUUCCUGCAGUCCCAAACCAGCUUUUACCAAAAACUUGCCAAAAUCUCUGGAAGAGGAACUAAUCCAUAGUGCUACAUCACGGAUCAAAUCAUGAAGCUUCACUUUAGUAUCAUCACUAGGGAUCUUGUCUAGCAUGCAUGACUCUAUCAGCUUUUCAAUUCGAUCAUGCCCUUUGUUGCUUGCAUAUUCUAGACUGUCUACUCUACCUAUGAGCCCCUCGCAUAUCCAAUACUGUACCAACUCAUCCUUUUCAAUUUCAUAGUCUCCGGGGAAGAGUGAACAAUAUAAGAAGCAUGAUUUGAUGUUGUCACGCUCCAACCGUUCAUAACUAUAUUUUAAAGAUGAGAAGACUUGGCGUUCCAUACCUUCUAUCUCUGGUGAUGCCUCAUGCAAGGCUCUUAAUGCAUUUUCCCACACCUGAACACUACUCUUCCCCUUCGUUGCACAACCGACUGUGAUAAUGGCAAGUGGAAGUCCACUGCACUCCCCGACAAUCUCAUGUGCACAGGGUUCUAUGUUUGGCAAAUCUACGACCUCUCGUGCUUUAUGACGAAACAAGUCCCAUGCAUCACCCUUUUGUAAAACAUCCAAUUUUAUAAUUUUAUCAGUCUCCAUCAGAUUGCAUAUUGCUAACUGUCGGGUGGUAAUUAUGAUCUUGCACCUAUUUUGGGCAUUUGGUCGAGGGACUCUUAUCAUAUCUAUAUCCAACAAAUCCCACAUAUCAUCUAAGAUGAGCAUGAAUCUUUGUCGAUUUAAACUCACAAACAAUAUCUCAGCAACCGUCUCUUCAUCAUCCACAUUUAAUUCCAAUCCUAUUUGUCGUGCAAUGGAAUUCUGUAUUUUUGCGAUGUUAAAAUCUCUAGAUACAGUGACCCAUAGUAUUUUAUUGAAUUCCCGAGUUCCCAAGAGACAAUUGUUAACAUGGUGCAUGAGCGUGGUCUUUCCCACUGCACCCAUUCCAUGAACAGCAAUCAUACGCAAUUCGUCAUUGUUUAAGCAGUUUAGUAUUUCAGUCAAAUUUUUCUUGAAUGUGUACUGACCUGUAAUGGUUCUUGCAGGCAUCUCCCUCCCUAGCGAUGGUGGUGCAGCCAUGGUCCAUUGAACAGAAUCGGCUACAUCGAUGUGGGC